RNAcentral lists this ribosomal RNA (491 nucleotides) under uncultured bacterium. RNAcentral's name for it is "partial 16S ribosomal RNA". It matches the Rfam family "Bacterial small subunit ribosomal RNA", at positions 29 to 507 of the family's 1533-position model. The record is from RNAcentral.
GUGAACGCUGGCGGUAGGCCUAACCUAUGCAAGUCGAACGGCAGCACAGUAAGAGCUUGCUCUUACGGGUGGCGAGUGGCGGACGGGUGAGGAAUACAUCGGAAUCUACUUUUUCGUGGGGGAUAACGUAGGGAAACUUACGCUAAUACCGCAUACGACCUACGGGUGAAAGCAGGGGAUCUUCGGACCUUGCGCGAUUGAAUGAGCCGAUGUCGGAUUAGCUAGUUGGCGGGGUAAAGGCCCACCAAGGCGACGAUCCGUAGCUGGUCUGAGAGGAUGAUCAGCCACACUGGAACUGAGACACGGUCCAGACUCCUACGGGAGGCAGCAGUGGGGAAUAUUGGACAAUGGGCGCAAGACUGAUCCAGCCAUACCGCGUGGGUGAAGAAGGCCUUCGGGUUGUAAAGCCCUUUUGUUGGGAAAGAAAAGCAGCAGGUUAAUACCCCGCUGUUCUGACGGUACCCAAAGAAUAAGCACCGGCUAACUUCGUG